UCGGCAGAGCGCGCUAGUGUCGUAGUCUUUGGACCUGUCUCCCAGCAAGGCGAGCUGUAACCUUUGACCCUGCACCUGUUUACACUAUUGCCGCUGUCGGCCAUUAUUGCCAGAAUCACGAUAAGUUCGGAAUUUGUUAAGUUAAUAAAUGUGCGUUUAGCUUAUGUUUGGUUGUUGUAUGGCGAUUGUAAUAAUUCUCCAGUGUCAUCCCAAAUUCGGAGCAUCUUUUCUGCGUAGCCAACGAUGUUAACUGCAAAGCAACGAAGGGCCUGCGCCAAGUGUGGACAUAGCAGCAGUAAAUCAACCCGGUCUUUCCAUCGAAUUCCUAAACCAGGAGGAGCCAAUACGGAAAAAUGCCUGGGAGUCUGAAUCUGAUCUACUGGCCCUGUACAAGAAGUCGAGAGUUGUUUGAAAUUGUAAAAUUUGAAAACUGUAAAAAAUUGUAAAACUGUAAACAAUUGUAAAAUAUGUAUAUUUAAUUUAUGAAACAUUAAAUGCGUACCUCACUCGUAAAGUAAUUUGUAACAAUGAACUGACAAUACUAUGUUCAGCUCUUAUGUAUUUCUUUCUUUUGCAAAAUAUCUUUUUAUAUAAAUUUUACAUGCACUCUAAA
This is a non-coding RNA of Bemisia tabaci, 613 nucleotides long. NCBI's taxonomy places the organism in Eukaryota, Metazoa, Arthropoda, Insecta, Hemiptera, Aleyrodidae. The record is from RefSeq and is a predicted model, not a curated record.